UACGGAGGGUGCAAGCGUUAAUCGGAAUUACUGGGCGUAAAGCGCACGCAGGUGGCUGAGUCAGUCGAUUGUGAAAGCCCUGGGCUUAACCUGGGAAUUGCAGUCGAUACUACUCAGCUAGAGUAUGGGAGAGGGAAGCGGAAUUUCCGGUGUAGCGGUGAAAUGCGUAGAUAUCGGAAGGAACAUCAGUGGCGAAAGCGGCUUCCUGGACCAGUACCGACGUUCAGGCACGAAAGCGUGGGGAGCAAACAGG
Molecule: ribosomal RNA, 253 nt
Filed under: uncultured bacterium
Lineage: Bacteria
Description: partial 16S ribosomal RNA
Rfam family: Bacterial small subunit ribosomal RNA
Source: RNAcentral